Non-coding RNA from Cyanistes caeruleus (blue tit), 1590 nucleotides. NCBI's taxonomy places the organism in Eukaryota, Metazoa, Chordata, Aves, Passeriformes, Paridae. The record is from RefSeq and is a predicted model, not a curated record.
UCUAUGUUUGGAAAGCCUCAGCAAAUGUGGGACACAAAAGCAGUAAACAAAUCAAUGGAGUGCCAGACCAAAUGUGUUUCACAUUUGUGAAAAUAACAAAGUUGAGUCAGGAAGAAAGGUUUAUGUGUCUUCUCCUCAUACAAUCCUUCCCAAGGUACUUUCUUUCAAUCCCCCCAAAAUUAAAUCCAGCCCAGACAGCAGCAAUAUUUGUGAGUACACAGCAUCAACCAAAUGCAUUGCAAAGCCACUGACAGCUCCAUGUGGCUUGGCAUGAAGCAGGGCUCAGAGGGGUGAGCAGGUGUUUCCUCCCACUCUUCCUCCACACCCAGGCACAAGGAUGUGCUGCCAACCACAGCACUGCUGGAAGGAACAAUCUGUGCCUCACCUGCUGCUUGCAGUGCGCCCAAGCUGAGGAGCAGGGCUGGAAACUUCUUCCCACACAGCUCUCAAAUCUCUGCUCUUGCCAAGAAUUCCUGCAAGGGAGAAUCGCUGGGUCAUUUCUGGAGCCACGAGAAAGACCCUGUGACACCUGCCUCUGUUUGUGCCAGGGAUGGAAAGCCUUUUUGAGGGACUUGUGAACUCACAGGAAUCAGCUCACCUCUCCUGAACAGCCUCUGUUCUAGGUCAGCCUUCUCAAGGCAUCAGGAGUGGACUAAAUGCUUCUCUCACCCUGCUUUUUGAUCUGACCACUUGUGAUUGCAAUCUCUCAGUCUCACACUAAGCCUUCCAGCACAGCACAUCCCAGGAGCCAGAAUGUUCUCCUGGCUGGACUUGCAGCUGCAGGAUGUGAAGCGCUUCAAACUGGUGUUGAGUCAAUGCCACCUUGUGACACAUCAGCAGUAAGAGAUUCACAGGACAUCUCCCAGAACUGAGCAUUUGGAGGGUGAGGAGACAGCAGUAUCUCAGCUCACCUGUCAAUAGUACCGUGGAAAGAGAGACAGGAAAAUGGCUCCUGCUGCGAAAACAGAAAUGCUGCAAUCUCACUUCGCCUGUUAUGGAAACAUGACCACUGUCUUUUCUAUCUUUGAAAAACAAAAAGACAAAUAAAAAAUAUUAUUAUUUGUUCUGACAAUUACAGUGAUCUUUAAACCUGAAAUUUGGCCUCUUAAUGAUUUCUGGCCUCACAGUUUCCUUUAAAAUUCCUAUGAAAAAAAAAGCUUUCUGCAUGUGCAUUUGGAGCAACUGCAAGUAUUCCACUGUGCAGCUACAGAUAAACCAAAUUUCCAACAAGCUGGUUCCAACAUCUGCCUCCUGUCUCAACCUGGUUUGAGGCAGUCAGUCCAUUGGCUGGUGGCCCCUGUGCAGAUCACAGGUUUUGCUUGCAUUGACAGUUCAUUGCAUGCAAUAUCCAGAUAAAGUCCCUGGCAGGUUCAGAACCUUUGGAGAAGUCAGCCAGGAAAGUCAUCUUUGUGCCAGCAAGGCACUGCCUGCCCUGGGCUGCAGUUAAUGGCCUUUUGUUAAAUUCAGUAGCUGUCUCAAGAGUUCAGAAGAGAAAUAUGAGGCUGUGAUUUAAUGAAGUAAUUUGAUUACAUAGAAAUCAAUCCUCUGCUAGGAUUUGAUAACUUCAAUAAAAAUGCCUACCAAAUUUGA